UGGGGGAUCGGCUAGCGGUAGGCCAGCAGACUCUGGAUCUGCCUGCGGAGGUUCGAAUCCUCCUCCCCCAGCCA
This 74-nucleotide transfer RNA is filed under the name Bacillota bacterium. Its description in RNAcentral is "tRNA-Gln". It matches the Rfam family "tRNA". From Rfam's summary of the family: Transfer RNA (tRNA) molecules are approximately 80 nucleotides in length. Their secondary structure includes four short double-helical elements and three loops (D, anti-codon, and T loops). The record is from RNAcentral. Lineage: Bacteria; Bacillati; Bacillota. RNAcentral also lists the same sequence under 1 other name.